Homo sapiens (human) is the source of this 1770-nucleotide long non-coding RNA. NCBI's taxonomy places the organism in Eukaryota, Metazoa, Chordata, Mammalia, Primates, Hominidae. The record is from Ensembl.
GGCAGAGCCCCCGGAGUCAUGGCCAGCCCUUCCGGCAGCUCCGAAGCCACUGGCAAGCCCUGAGGUAGGGAUGGCUGGCCCAGGAGGGAGGAGGACGACGUCCCUCCCGAAGAGAAGAGGCUGCGGCUGUUGCUGGAGGGGGGAAGCGCACAGCCCGAGGACUGCGAGGACGGGGAGGACGCGCCGCGGCCGGGCAGGGAGGAGACCGGCACCCAGACAGGUGGCGACGGCAAAGGAGCGGAAUUCUCCACGAGUUUUGAGCAGCCUCGGUUUUCCCACCCCCUCCAAAUCAUGGAAGAAACAGGGUAAGAGCAAAGACAAGGUGGCUGUGGCCUAUGUCUACCCUCUCGGGGCGUCCCUUGUCUUCUCUCCUCCUUGGGCAGGGAGACCAUCGGAGUGCAACCUGGCUGGGGCGGGGAGGAGGUGCAGGGCCUGGCCAGAGCGGGCCUGGCCACGGGCAAGGGACAGCGACCUCCUGGGCCAGGACAGGUGAGCGCGGCGCAGGCCCGGGCCCGGCGUGUCCGCGCUGCGCGGGAGAGGCCAGCAGAGGGCGCCAGAGAGCCAGGAGCGGCCCGCGGAGGAGCCCGCGCCCGCCCCGAUGCCCAGCUCCGCGCCUCGCGGACCCAGCAAGCUCGCGCUCAGACGCCCCAGCUCCGCCGAGAGGACGCUCGCCCCGGGUGCUUCUUUUUCCCCAAGUGCAGGCAGAGCCCCUGGAGCCAUGGCCAGCCCUUCCGGCAGCUCCGAAGCCACUGGCAAGCCCCGAGGCAGGGAUGGCCGGCCCAGGAGGGAGGAGGACGACGUCCCUCCUGAAGAGAAGAGGCUGCGGCUGUUGCUGGAGGGGGGAAGAGCACAGCCCGAGGACUGCGAGGACGGGGAGGACGCGCUGCGGCCGGGCAAGGAGGACACCGGCACCCAGACAGGUGGCGACGGCAGAGGAGCGGAAUUCUCCACGAGUUUUGAGCAGCCUCGGGUUUCCCACCACCUCCAAAUCAUGGAAGACACACGGUGCAGGCAGAGCCCCCCAGCCGUGGCCAGCCCUUCCGGCAGCUCCGAAGCCACUGGCAAGCCCCGAGGCAGGGAUGGCCGGCCCAGGAGGGAGGAGGACGACGUCCCUCCCGAAGAGAAGAGGCUGCGGCUGUAGCUGGAGGGGGGAAGCGCAGAACCCGAGGACUGCGAGGACGGGGAGGACGCGCCGCGGCCAGGCAGGGAGGAGACCGGCACCCAGACAGGUGGCGAAGGCAGAGGAGUGGUCAUUUUUCUUCUUGUGGCCUCUGGAAUGUGACACAGAACUCAAGGGACAGGAAGGAGAUGAGUUGGAGGCUGGGACAGGGGUCCCUGCCAGGGAUGCUGGUGACUCACGUGACGGUGUUGAUGUGUGGAGUCCGGUGCCUGGUUUGGGGAAUGUUCGUGGGAUAUGUUCCAAAGGACUGACAGACCUAUCAGGUGCAGUGGUUCACACCUGUAAUCCCAGCACUUUGGGAGGCCGAGGCUGGCGGAUCACCUAAGGUCAGGAGUUCGAGACCAGCCUGGUCAACAUGGCAAAACUGUCUCUACUAAAAAUACAGAAAUUAGCCAGGUGUGAUGGCACACACCUGCAAUCCCAGCUACUUGGGAGGCUGAGGCAGGAGAAUCGUUUGCACCUGGGAGACAGAGGUUGCAGUCAGCCGAGAUUGAACCACUGUACUUCAGCCAGCCUGGGUGACAGAGCGAGACUCUGUUUCAAAAAUAAAUAAAUAAAUAAAAUAGAAUUCUGAAUUUUAUUUUUAAUAA